GGGGCUGACAUGGAUUUGACAGCAGGAUGACAUGUUGCGUAAGCACGCAGAGAGUUGCAGGCCGCUCUCUUUAAUCCAUGACCUUCAAAGAUUAUCUGGCGAAACUCGUUACGCUCUCGCUGCUUAGUCGAAGUAUAGUAGAUUAACAUUAUCGCGGCACAAGGUGCUGCGACGGGACAUCACUCAGAGACUAACGCUCCCAAGUGCUCUGGUUCAGUGGUGCAGCUAAAUGGGAGAUAGCUGUCGGUGGCCUCGCGCCGUUGGUGAAGCUUUUAGGGGAUAAGGCAUUGGUCGGUGGCUCAGGUCUUGCCAAUGCUCGAAAACCAAAGUCUGAGAUAAGCGUGUAGAAAGCGCAGGAUGUACCUGUUUGGACGAGGGUUCAAUUCCCUCCAGCUCCACA
This 400-nucleotide transfer-messenger RNA is filed under the name bovine gut metagenome. It matches the Rfam family "transfer-messenger RNA". Rfam says of the family: Bacterial tmRNA, also known as 10Sa RNA or SsrA, is named for its dual tRNA and mRNA-like properties. Its role is to liberate the mRNA from a stalled ribosome. The record is from RNAcentral.